CAGGGGGUUGGAAUUGGAUGAGCACUGUGGUCCUGUUCAACCCAGGUUAUUCCAUGAUGCUAUGAUUAAUAAACUAUAUGACUUAUUAUAUUAAACAAUGAAAGGAAAAGGAGCUGGAAGACUCCUUAGAGCUAAACCAAACCAACAUAAAGCCUGUGGUGCAUUGAAGAAGAGAAAAAAAAAAAUUAAUGCCACUUAAAACCCCCUGAACUUUGUGUAUAGGUUCUUAUGUAAGUUAUGUUCUUCUCUACCCUUUAUGCAAGUUUUUCCUUCUCUAGAGCUGGUCCUGCGUGGGCUCUGCUGGGAGGGUGCAGGAGGUGUGAGCUCAGCCGGUGCUCAGUGCAGUGCUGUGCCCAUGGGACGUGGGUGAAGCCCUGGGUGUCUCCAGGAGCAGCACUUCCAGGUGUGCACAGGUCCAUCAGGGCAGAGUCUCACAUCUCAUGUCAUCCAUUGUAACUCUUGCAGUUGGCUUCAUUGCUCCUUCCAGAUGGUGUCUUGCACCGUGUGCCCAUCAUGGUUAAUAUGUGGGUAUGGACAUUGGUGAGCACUGCAUGCAUCCGUGGAGCCAGGAGAGGCAGUGCGGCUGUGCAGGAGCAGGGAGUUGUGUGCCCAUCACCUCGCUGCGAGCAGACUGACCUGCUGGUGGAUCCCGACUGCCACAGAAUCACCGAACCAUAGAACGGCCUGGGUUGAGAAGGAGCACAGUGCUCAUCCAGUUCCAACCCCCUGCUAUGUGCAGGGUCGCCAACCAGCAGACCAGGCUGCCCAGAGCCACAUCCAGCCUGGCCUUGAAUGCCUGCAGGGAUGGGGCAUCCACAGCCUCCUUGGGCAACCUGUUCAGUGCGUCACCACCCUCUGGGGGAAAAACUUCCUCCUCAUAUCCAACCUAAACCUCCCCUGUCUCAGUUUAAAACCAUCCCCCUUUGUCCUGUCACUGUCCACCCUUGUAACUCUUCCCCCAAACACACGUGUUCCCUUCUGCUCCGAGGCGAGGAGCAUUCCUGCUGUGUACACUGCACAGAAACCCGUGUUUAGAGCCCACUGCAUCUGCAGGGAUGAGAGGAAUGGGAUCAUUCUUCUGCUUUAUUCGCUCGCUGGACUUUGAGCUUCAAAAAACAAACUCCAGUUCCGCUCCUAUGAAUUAUCCUAGUCCCAUCAUUUUACAGACGUGGAAUGCAGCACUUUGGUUUACAUUCACUUAAAAAGUAAGGAGUUUGAAUGCAGGCCCUGCGUUAAUUAGAGGGGGAAGCAGCUUAGUGCCUGUGCCUGCAGCAAGAGGAGCUGGGAGUGUGGAUGGAGCCCCAAAAUGUGUUUGUGGCACUGCCCAGCUCUGCACGGAGCAGAGGGCUGCAGCAUGGGGUGGGUGGCAGCCUGCCUUGCCCUCCCAAGGGGGUAUCUGUAGUGGGAAUGCUGCGUGGCUCUGAUGCAGGAGCUGCAGCGUUCCACAUCAUCAGGAAGGAAAUCUCCGCAAUCAUCCUUAGCACUGCCUGUGUUCUUUCGGGCAGCACUCACUGCCUGUCCUCCUGAUAGGCGUCAGAUGAUUUAUUUAUACCGCUGCGGUGUGAGAAACUCCACCUUGAGAGCUUCUCUUUAAAAAAGCAUCGGUAAUUAUAGGGUGCUGCUUUCAUGUUUGACUCAGGUUUAUUUUCAUGCCACGCUGCCCGGCUGCUGGAGGAAUCGUUGCUUAAAGACAGGCAGAGCGGUUGGUUUGCUGUGCGCUGUGCAUGGAGAGCCACGAGUCACACGUGCUGACAUUGCCCAUGUUUGUUAUCUACGUGUCUGCGUCGUGGAAGGAGCACGAUGUGACUCUGGGGUGUCCUGGAGGUGGAUGGAGGCUCCGUGGAAGGAAGGAGCUGCUUUAUUUCUCCCUUAGGAGAGGUCUGUCAGAGCCAUGGCGUGGAAUUCUUGGGGCGGUGGGGUUGGCUUGUGGGUAACACAAGUGGAGCGCUUGGUGCACAUCCCAGCCUUCAGAUCCUCGUGUGUGUGAAUAACCCUCUUUCUGCCCCACAACCACUUCCAUUCACGCUGCCCCGGUCCACAUGAGUUACCAAAGAGUCAUCUGAUGAGCACUCCUGACCCGGAGCCAGGCAGAGCAAGCUCAGAGCUCUGCUUGUUCCUGGGCUGACACACACGGGUGUGCAAACAGCAGAUGUGUGCCUUCCCUUAUGUGCAGCUCCGAGGGGCAGCGGUGUGCCUGCCUUCCUCCGGGCUCAGGGCAUGGAAGCUCCCAUUUGUUCCCAUUGCCUCUCAGCUGUGCUGGUGAACGUUCUGUUGCCCAACUCUUGCUCACAUCAGCUGAAGUUGCUCACUGUGGUUGGACUGCAGCAAUGGCCGUUCUGUAGCACAGAGUUGGAAGGGUUACGCUGAUGGAAGAAAGUCUGCUGGGUAGGUGAGCUCUUGUUUGCAAUAGCAGCCACAUUGGGAAUGUGUUUGUAAGCACUGAGGGGGGGUGAAGAGAUGGCUGAUCUGUGUCUGUGCAGCAAAGGACUUUCCUAUUUGCUUGCUUUGUUUUUCCCUUUGUGCUGCUCAGGGCCAUGAUUUAGCAGAGGGUUGUUUGAAUUAGGGUAGUAUGGCUGGGUUGUAGUUGGACUGGAUGAUCUUCAAGGUCUUUUGCAACCUGAGCAAUUCUAUGACUGUAUGAUUGUAUGUCGAGGACAGGCUGGUAAAGCAGGGUUCCCCACAAGGUGGGCUUUCUGUCCUUGGAGUGUGAAGCUGGAGGGGCCCGGUGGUGUUGGGGUGGUUGGCUGCUGAGUGAGCCCUGUUCAUGGGCUGCCGUGUUGUGCCUGGCAUCUUCCCUGGGCUGCUUCCCUCUGAGUUUGAUAAGCUAUUUCAUAUGAAGCUGGGGGGAAAAGCUGGGAGAUAACUGCAGGGAGGAGCAGGUGUAAGUUGGGGUCUUCCUGGCCGUGUGUCAACACUCAGCUGCAGGAGGACGUGUUAAAGGGUUCAGGUGCUUUCUGCAGUGGUGGAUGGCUCAUAGCUCCAUCCCCUUGCAGUGGGCAGCAAAGGGCACUUCAGCCCUUGUGUUUGCCCCUAUGCACCUCCUCCGGAGUGUGUUUCCCCUGUGCUGUCCCCAUCUCCUGUUCUCUCCUGUGGGUUCUGCAUUGAGAUGCUGUUUCUGACAGCUACGUGCUCGUGGUGUUCCAGAUAGCCAUCAGAAGAGGUCCAGGAGCUGAAUGGUGGUGAGAGCACAGAGGUUCUUAGUGCUGAGAAUGUCACCUGGGAAGCAUACACCGGUGGGCAGCAGCAGCUGUCUGGCCAUGGGGGGGAUGGCAGGUGAUGCUCAGGGCCUCUCAGUGCAGGACAUUGGGCAAAAGGAUGGAAACCCUUCCCAUAGGCUCCUUGCAGGGCUCCAGGAGCACAUCUGCAAAGGGGAGAAGUGGACAGCUUUCUCUCCUGGAGAGGUGUUAUGGAAGGAAUAAGGGAGGUUCUGAGAGAGGGGAAAAACAAGUGAAAUAACGUGAGGGUGGACUGGCAACGUGCUGAAUGUGUGGAGAUAGGAGGCAGAGGGAAUUGUGCAUCAGGCUUCUGUGGCAGCUGUAAUGCUGAGCCCAGGGAGCUGUGCAGGAGUGGGUGGGUGCAGCGCUGCGAGCGAUGGAGGCAGUGCUGUGCUGUGGGUUUUGCUGGCCAGCCCCCAGCCCUUGGGCCCUGCAGUUCUUCCCAUGGCUUCGUGUUGAAGGAUUUGUCAGAAUGGUGGGGUUCAUCUAUGGCUCUUCAGGUGUAGCUGUCUGCAGCUGCUUAAAUUGGGACCCGGUGCUUGUUAUGUUUUUGAGCUGCUUGAAUAACUCCUGUUGUAAGAAGGGAGAUCUCGCAUUUGCAGUUCUAACAGGCACUGUUUCCUGCUCAGAUCACUGCUUCCUAUUUCAUUUUCUGCAUAAGGUUUGGUUGGAGGCCCCCAGCUUGCAUCCCACUGUUGCACCCAUUUGCUGGGGCAGCUGGAGCUGCAGUCUCUGCGAGCAGCCUUCCAUCAGCACAGCCCACAGGUGGUUGCAUGCUGAGGCAUCCGCUGCCCCUCUGCCUUCAGGAGCAGGGAUUUGGUGCAGCAGGCACCGAAGGAGGAUUGUUCUGAAGGCUCGAGCCAUAACGGAGCUCCGUGUGCCCACCUGCGUUCUCUUCAGGCUGGUAAUGUUAUCUGUCUCUGGAUUUCUCUUCGUGCGCCGCUGACAGCAGGCUGUGCUCCUACACCUCCUCAGCAGAGGUGGAGUGUUACCAUCUGUCACCGUGUGGGCAGCAGUCAUCCCAAAAAGUAAUGGCAGUGGGAGUUGUUGCCAGUUACAAGUUGUGAUCACAAGCCAAAUGGCGCACUUCUAAAUUAAUACGUUUCCAAAGGGAAAGCAAUGCAGGUGUUUAUUUUUGCAAAGCGUUUUCAGUGGCAGGCACUCUGCUGGGGUCUUGGCUUGGAGGUGUUCUGUGGGUGUGUGAGGGACCGAUGCCCUCCAUGCAGUGGUACGUGGGGUAUGUGAGCCCACAUGGGGCUGCAGAUGGGGUUCUUGUAAGAGGGUGAGUGAUGGAAGUUUGCUCUGCCCAAUGGGAACUGAAGGAUGUGGUGUUGUCCUUUGGCACAACCAGCCCUUAGCAGGGCUCUGCUGCUGCCCUUGGGUCAUGGGGAGGUGCGAGGUGGGAAGGUGCCCUGUGCUCAGUCUGGUUGGUUGGAAGGGUAUAUAUCUCUCACCCUUGGGCAGGGCACCAAGUCUCCUAUAAUGCUUAUACGAUCACUUACCAACUCAUAGGGUAGACUGCACUUAUUGGUUAGAACUGACUAUCAAUCACCUGAACUAAGUUUUAAUUAAACUUAGCUUAAAGCUAAUUUAAAACUAAACUUAAAGCCCAGACAGAAGACGUCUUGUAGGCAGGUGGGAAGAGUUGGAACUAAUCUUUUUUUUUUAAUAAUUAUUUUAAAAUAUGGAAUUAAAAUAGCAACAAUAGGUGAAGAUAUCGUAGCACAUCUCCUUGGUCCCCCUUUUCCUCCAUCAUGUUGGAUCCUGACUGAGGGCUGCUAUCGAUUCAGCAUCACUGACAGCAGCAGCAGAUGAUGGUCAUUACUCUUCAAAUAGAGGUGUUUAGAGAAUAACAAAGAGGAAUACCAUGACAACCCAAGCCUUACAGAUGAUCCUUUCCAUGCAUUUUUUGCACACAAGCUGUGUUGUAGAGGGGAUACGAAUAUCCUUGGAUGUUUGUAUUUGGAUACAAAUAACCUGUUCAGUGCAUCACCACUGUGCCUGGAGCACCUCCUGCAAACAGCACUGCCAGCUCUGCACGGUGCCCCACCGCAGGGAAUGCUGCCUCUUUGGGCAGGCUGUGCUGUAAUCUUCACAGUCUCUAGGUGAGAAUGCUCAUAAGUGGUUUCCAUGCUAUUGUUUGCAUUGUUUUGCUUAAAAAGCAGAGAACUUUGGAAAACGUGAUAUCCUUAUCCAGUUUAGAUGGAAGAUAAUCCAAUCUAAGCACAACACUCAAUGUUAAAUCAUUUUUUCUCCUUCCGACUCAGUCUUGUUAGAGAAGAAAGGCCUCCUGGUGUGGCUGGCAGCGCAGCAGCAGAUGAUGCUGUGCUUAUUGUUGCACGUCUCGAUGCCAUAGAUGUGUUUCUAUAGGAAAUUUCCUCUGCCUGAGGAAAUAGACUUCUGUUUGUUCGUAGACGUUGUUCCAGAGUGAAAUAAAAGUGGAUGGAGACGGUGGUGUCACAGCAGUGGGAUGGGAUGUGCUGCUCUUUGCACCAAAGCUGGACGUGGGGAUGUAUCCCAGGAGGGAGCUGUUUCCUCCGACGUGUUUUGUUUUGCAGAUGGGGUGAGUGCAGAGGAUGCUCACUAUUGUCAGCAGGCAGAUGGUGACUGUCUGAGCCGCAGGAUAGGAUAUUCUGGAUAAACACACAUUGUUCCCAUAGUUUUUGGGCCAUAUACGUGAAUUACCCAAGGUGUUCUCAUGGUUCCUAACUUUGGGCUCCGUUUGGGUAGGGGUAGAUUUCAAGAGCCUCACUGGAAAUAAGUAAACCAUGGAUUUGGGAAGUGCUGCUCGCUCCGGUGCAAUCGCUGUGGUUGUUUGAGUGCUGCUGUCCAUCUUCGGGCCAUCCAUCAAUACGGACCCAUAACAGCUGGCUUCAGGGCAGGCAGAUCUGAUCCCAGUCAGAUCUCACUGGGUUUGCACCUUGCGUACCAUACCCAUACAUCUCCAUACCUGCGUGCAUUGCCCACUGCAGGAUGACAUCAGAACCAGCUGAAUUCUGAGCUGGGAUGGAGCAGCUCUGGGCACACUGCAGCACUCAGCAUUCUAUAUGUACGCUGUAAUUUCAAGUGUGCUCGCACAGCAGGUUUGUUUAUAGCUGCUUUCACUUUAAACGCAUUGCUUGAGUAGUCAGGUCUAUUCUAAACACCACUUACCUUUUGUCUUUGAUGAAGUAUGUGUAUAAAUGUGCUUUCCAUGUGCAUGCUGUUCUGGGGCUGGGAUGCUCUGAGUGCUUUGACCCUGCAGUUUUUGUGCCCUCCUUUCCUAUCUUUCUUGAAGGCCAACAGCUUUUGUGCUGGAGUGGAGGUGUAUGGCUGGGUGCUGCAGCUUCAUGUGGAGGAGUGGGUAAGGCAGCAAAUUUGUGUAUGUCCCAGUAUGGUGUUACCAAAGGUGCUUAAGGAAGGGGAUGUGGGAAUGUCAGGCCAGGAGCUGUGUUCUGAGGUACGUAAGUUAUGGUUGAAUGCUUCCAGGUGAGCAAAAGCAUUGCCUGUUCUCUUGGAAAUUCCCUUGUUCUGUGGGAGCUUUAGGAAACUGUGGAGUGGCUUUUUGAGUUCUGUGGCUCCAGGAGCUGAAAUAAAGGCAUAAAUAGCUGCUGCAGUUACUGGAGGCAUUCCCUGCUGGAGGAAGGCUGUGUCUGUGAGUGUGUGCUGCUCUCCAGAAAAGGUCAAAGAAGACAAAUGGAGCCCAGUUCUGCACAGAGUGUGGAUGCUAUGGAGGGCAAGGAGGGGGAGAUCUUCAGUGCAUGGUGGUAGGGGAUGAAAUCUUCAGUGUGUGGUGGUAGAGGCUGACCUGCUGGAGAGGAGCGGUGGGAGUCCUGGUGGAUGACAGGUUGGCCAUGAGCCAUCAGUGUGCCCUGGUGGCCAAGAAGGCCAAUGGGAUCCUGGGGUGCAUUCAAAAGAGUGCAGCCAGGAGGCUGAGAGAGGUGAUCCUCGCCCUCUGCUCUGCCCUGGUGAGGCCAUAUUGAGUGUACUGUGUCCAGUUCUGGGCUCCCCAGUUCCAAAAAGACAGGGAUCUCCUGGGAGGAGGGCCACAGAGGAAAUGAAGGGCCUGGAGUAUCUCCCCUAUGAGGAAAGGCUGGGUGACCUGGAGCUGUUCAGCAUGGGGAAAAGAAGACUGGAAUGGGCUGCCCAGAGAGGUGGCGGUUGUAUCUUCUGCAGAGAUGCUCAAGAGCCAUCUGGAUGCCAACCUAUUGUAGGGAACUGCUUUAGCAGGGGGCUGGACUCGAUGAUCUCCGGAGGUCCCUUCCAACCCCUGCAGUUCUGUGACUCUGUAAUCCAUCCCCAGAAUUCCCUGAGUGGGGACCUCUGUCCUCCCCCCAUGCUGUGCUCUCUGUGGGCUGUUGGGUUUGCUCUCCCAGUUAUCGGCUGGCAUCAAUUAAAACGGUUGCUAAUUGCAUUCUGUCUCCUGACCUUGAACGACUCUGGAAGGAAAAUACUUGCCUUGGUGCGUGCUGAACGUACCCUGUAAUGGGUGGUGGCAUUUGACAUGCAUGUUGUAAGUGCUGAGCUGAAAAGAAGUAGUUAAUAGAUAGUGACCUGUGUGGAGACAGAGCAGAGGGGUGACCAGAUAGGUUGCAUUUAAUGUUAUUAAGCAUGUUAUGAUGAUGAGCAUUUGAAGGCAUCAGAAAGGUGAGGAUUUGCAGCGGUAUUUGUUGUAACAGCAGAGCAGUGGCAGUUUGGGCCCCCAAAGGGCUUUGCCAGUACAGAUCGUGGUGCAUUGGAUCAACGUUAUUAAGAUGCUGGGAAGAUUGCUCCAUUGAUAGCUUGGAACUGUUUGUUAAACAGCAAAUGAAAUGGCAGCUCGUUGUAAUUUUCAUAUUAAACCAGGAGUCUGAGCUGGUGAGAUGGCACCGUGCAGAUGCAAUCCUGUUAUUUUAAGGUGUGAGGGGUGAGCAGAACCAUCUCAUUUAAACACGGACCGUUCUCUGAUCCCUGCCAUGGUUCUCUUGGUGUCUGGAUGCCUCCCCACAUUAUUUGCAGGGGUGAUGUGAGGGAGCUGCUGCCAGCUCAGAGUGUGGUGAAUAGCAGCAUAAUGCAACUGCAGAUCAGCCAGGCGGGAUCUGAACAUGGACCAUGGUGCUGUGUUGGUUGUAUGGUCACCUGUGCAGUUCUUGGUGCAUCAAUGGUAUGUGCUCCAGUGUAGCAAACUCUGCAAGUACAGUAAUUAUGUAAUUGCUUUCAAUUAGAGAGUCAGAAGUUGAGAAGACAGCGUUUCUCAGGAUGGAAACCAGCUUGUUUUCUGGGUGGGUCCCGAUGCAGUUGGCUCAUCCCUGCAUCGCUGUAGUUGGAGGAUCACUGUUUCCCUGAUCUGUGGUUUGUUGGGUGACCCAUCAUUAAAAAACCUAACAAAAAAAGCACGUAGAAUCGUAGGGACGUUAAAAAGAAAUGGCUUGUGAGUUAGAACUCAAAUUGAGGCUAUUCCCUGUCAGUGUGUGCUUUGUUUCCAACACGUUUGUAUAUGCAAAGCAAUGCUUGAGUUGAGAAUGCCCUCCGAGCUCCCUCUGUUUCCAGGUGUGUGCCAGCUGAUGGCCGAACAGGAAGAGAAACCUGGUGUGAAGGUGGAAAUCUCCAUUCAGAGCGCUCCGUUCCAGCAGAGCUGGUCGGGCAGCAUUGCUCACAUCAGUGGUGUUGGAGACAGGUGCUUGCUGGGUUGGAAGUCUGCCUUAAUUCUGUUGGUAGAAGUGUGAGUGAGUUGGUAAUUUCUCUGGGUCCACGUGACUGACAGCGUGUUGGUUGUAGAGGCUUCAAAUUCAGUUAGCUGUGUGCCACUGCUGUGAGAUGUUACCUGCUCCAGUGCAGUGUCUGCAUAGAGGAUGGGGAAAGCAUCGCUCUGUUUGCUUUAGGAGGAGCAGAAAGUCAGUCUUGCAUUUCAUCCCAUUGAAGGUUUGCUCAGUCGCGGCGUUAAAUACUUUAAAUUAUACAGUGGAUGGUGUUCAUCUCAGUGCAGCAAACUUCUUAAGCCAGCAGGGAGAGGGAGGUGAUUGUGCCCCUCUUUUUAGCUCUGGUGAGGCCCCAUCUGCAGUGCUGCAUCCAGGCCUGGGGCCCCCAAUACAGGAAGGACGUGGAGCUCUUGGAGCGGGUCCAGAGGAGGGCUACUAAGAUGAACAGAGGGCUGCAGCACCUCUCCUAUGAGGAAAGGUUGGGGGAACUGGGCUGGUUUGGCUUGGAGAAGAGAAGGCUCCGGGGGGACCUCAUUGCGGCCUUCCAAUACUUGAAGGGAGCAUAUAAACAGGAGGGGGAAUGGCUGUUUAUGAGGGUGGAUAGUGAUAGGACGAGGGGGAAUGGUUCUGAACUGAGACAGGGGAGGUUUAGGUUGGAUGUGAGGAGGAAGUUUUUCCCCCAUAGGGUGGUGACGCACUGAACAAGUGCCAUGAGUUAGCAGAGGGCUGUUAGUUAGGGUAGUAUGGUGAGGCUGUGGUUGGACUGGGUGGUAUUGAGGGUCUUUUGCAACCUGAGCAAUUCUAUGAUUCUGCAGUAAAAAGGGCUGUGUGCUGAGGAGUGAUUUGAAGCUGGGUGCUGGAAUGUGAGGCAGAGCUGUUCCCUACCGGUUACCUUUGAACCUCAUGCAGUUAUUGGGUGCACAGGUGUCACCAUUUGGGCCUGCAGGUCGCUUGCUUUGUGCUUCAGGCACUGAAUCAUCUCAACCCCAGUGUGCUGAGGCCCAGUGCUUCUACCUCUCAGCUUGCUGGCUCCUUGGCUUUGCAGCAUCAAUAACAGCUGUGUGCAUUUCAAUAGCAUUUCCUCAUCUUCAUAGUUCCUUACAGUUAGAAUAGUUCUAACAUUGGUUCUCCUCCAUAUAACAGUUUGUUUGUUGCUCUCUGGAUAUAUUUGUUGUGAUACAGCACUUCCACGCAGCGGAAUUUAUGAAUAUAAUUAGAGGGUGAAAGGCAUUAUAAGAAUCAAAGCACUGUAACGACAUUCAGUUCUUAUUGACAAGCUGCUCAUUGCUGCUGCAUUCACAUGAAGAUUUCUAAUGCAGCAAUAGGAGCAGUGAAAGCUCAGUGCGUGGAUGGGAUGGGACUUUUGGAUUGCUUUGCAGGCAGCACUGGGCUCCAUCUCGCUGCCCAGCUGCCUGCUGCUCUGUUUUAUGGAGCAUCAC
RNAcentral lists this long non-coding RNA (10311 nucleotides) under Gallus gallus (chicken). The record is from RNAcentral. Lineage: Eukaryota; Metazoa; Chordata; Aves; Galliformes; Phasianidae.